GUUACCGGAAAAUUUGAAGCAGAUUGUCGUGAAAAUGACGCCGUUCGUGUGAACUUCAUCCGACUGGCUACUGAAAAAUUCGAAGGAGAUUGUCGUCAAAACGACGCCGUUCGUACGAACCUCAUCUGACUGGUUAAUGGAAAAAGCUCCUCCACUGAUAUCUACUUCCAUAAAUUCGAUCCGAAACGCUCCACUUCGUUAUACCAUUCCAAUCGGAUUUCUGCUGAUUUUGUUCCUCCGCCGGUGCUGCAGCGGCGGCGACGGCGACGGCGGAAAUGGGAAGACGAUGAAAGCUCCGGGAAGGAAUAAUGUAAGGAUACCAAGGCGUAGUUUUGAAAGCAGUCCUAAAUCCUAUUUCCGCGAUCUCCGCUCCCGAAAAAACUAAUUUCGGUAUAAUUAUUUGGUAUUUGAUAUCUACUUAUUUUAUUUAAUUUUUAAGUUCUGACUCGAAACCUUUAGUUAAAAAUAAAGGUAUCGUGAUAUCACUUAUGGAGUGGAUUUAUGUAAUUUUGUAUAUUAUGUGUUUGUAUUUCGAAUUUUAUAAAUAUUUGAUUAUGAAUUUAAUUAUUUUAUAGUAAUGUGAAAUUAUUAUAAAGAUUCAUAAAUUGGGACGGAGAGAGUAUUUAUUGAAGUGGGACAGGCUUAGAUGCAUCUACAAUCCAACUGUAUCGAUCCAAUAAUUAAUGUUGUUGGAUGAAAGUUAGGUGAGAAAUUAAUAUCAAACCUUGUGAAAUUGUUUAUGUACACUAUUGAUCUGAAAAAAGUUUGUAUCAAAGAGAGAAAACUAAAAGGCGAAUUAGUCUUGAAUCGAAGAGUAGAGGUAAGAUCUGCGUACAUUCUGAUAUUUUUCAAUUGAAUUUUGUGGAAUUACGUUGAAUAUGUUGUUGUUGUUGUUGUCGUCGUAAGUAGAGCGAUGGAAUUUGGAAGAGGUGAAUUGAAGGUAAGAGGUACAGCAGUAAUGGAGAAGAUAAAAUCAAUAGAAGAUAUUUUGAAGAUGUUGAUGGAUUCCCCAGUAGGAUUUAUCAUUUCAAUUGGGUUGAUUGUGAUUUUGUUGUCCUUAAUUUGUCGUUGCUGCUGCAGAGGAAAUAAUAAUAGGAGAAAUGUGGGGAUGAUGCGUCGUAGAAAAUAUUAUUGAAGUCAGUGAUCGUAUGAAAAAUUUAACAUCUUAUAUAUACUAGAGUUCAUCUAUAAUCUUUCAACAAAGGCGAUUCAAUUGUUCCACUGGCUCCGCCCCUGAUUACAGGAAUGUACUAAUGUGUAUUGUGUUGGCUGCACCACCAUGCCCACCGUCUGUAAUUCCUUUCUUUUUGAAUUUGAAGUUAGGAGGGUAUUACACGAGUUUGUAAAUCGAAAUGAAAAUCGAACGUUUCCUAGUUAAAAAAUGUGGAAUUUCGUUUGAAUUAUCAUUUGUCAGGACUCUUUCGCAUAAGUUGCUUGAUUUGGAUAUAAGGCAUUUAUUCUGUUAUUAUUUUUGUAUUCUCUGUAACGGAUAAUAACCACAUAGUAAUAGAGAUUGAUACGAUUCAAUUCAAUAUUUUGUUCGUUCGAAUUUGAUUGUGUCGUAACUUUAUAAGUCGGAUUAACCAUUGAUAUUACCCAAAUAGUAGUAUGCAAUUCAUCUCAUUAAUUCCCACAUCUUUUGAUGCCUCAAUUUUCCAAUCGACAACAGGGUAACCGUAAUAGACAUUCAAUAACAUUAAAUAUAUAUUUAUUAAAUUCACCCGAAAUAUUUAGUGAAAAAUGAAGGUAUACAUAUAUGUCACGACAAGUGAUUAUUAAUCUUAUAAAAGUAUAAGUUUCGUCAAGUACUUUGAUUGUGUAUUGCAGUACGCUUGAGUAUUAUUUUUUUUAUAAUUUGAAGUGUUUUGGUUUGAUCAUAGAUUUUUAUAAUACAAUUACAUUGUAUUUUACAUUGAAAAAAUUAAAUUUUUAUGAGUAGAAAUUGAAAUUUGAAAAUCAAAAGUGUUUUAAGAUUCUUCAUUAUUAAGUUACCUUAUUUUGUCUUUUUUCUUUUGGGUCAAUUACUUUUUGGUGACAAAUGACAAUGUAGCAAUAGCUAUUUUGAAUUUCUAAAAAUAUGACCUACUACAAUCACGCUCACAAUAAUCUUGGGUAAAUUUGAUAAUUUUAUGAAAACUUUAUGUUAAAUUUUUAUUUUUAUACAGGUAAUCUUUGUAAAGUUAUUUUCUUAUCAAAUGUUCCAUUUUCACUCUUUUUUUUCCUUCCCAUAUAUAUAUAUGUUUAACCUAGCUAGUCGAGUAGUAGUACAUUUAGAGCUUAUUUGGAUUGAUUUAUUUCAAUUAUGUUAAUUUGUAAAUAUUUUUAGUACAGUAUUAUUUGAAUAAAUUAAAAAAUUACUUAUAUAAGGACUUAAUUUUAAGCUAAAAUAAUAAAAGUCAAAAUCCAAAAUCAUAAAUUUAAAUUUCUAACCUGUAAACAGAAAAACCCAAUAUCUAAUUCAAACAUAUGCUUACACUUACAGUCAAUUACUCUCUCGGUUCCUAAUUACUUGUUCACUUUUUCUUUUUUAGGUGUACCUAAUUACUUGUCUAUUUUGACAAAUCAAGAAAAGACAUUCUUUUACCUAUUAUACCCUCAAUUUAUUAUUUUGAAAAAAAAUAGAAAUUCUUGAAAAUCUUAAGUUUUUAAUUCAUCAUUUCACAAAUUAAUAAGGGUAAAAUGGUAAACUCACUAUGUCAAUCAUUAUUUUCUUAAUAGGUAUAUCAAUUUAAAAGUGGACAAGUAAUUAGGGACGAAGAAAAUAGUAUUUAACUAAAUAACUGUUUAUUUAAAGCAAAUGAUUCUUUGCGGUCAUGAAAUGGAAGGAUUAAAGUUGAAGUCUUAUAAAAGUGAAAAUAUUACUAUUAUCUUUUGUACUAAAAAGAAAACUUGGGUGGAAGAUGUGUCCCACCCACAUGCCAUGAGACUAAAAGAAAUGUAGAAUGUAAAUUACUAGGAAUGAGACACAAAAUUUUAUUUUAUAGGGAGAUAUCAUACUUCCUUACAAAUAUAUCUUUUUCUUUCUAUCAAGAGAUCUAGAUAGAAAAAAAAAUGGUUAUGAAGGAAAUAAUGAGCUUUGUGAUGGAGAAAUUGAAGGAAGCCAUACUCAUACUGAUGAAUUUUGGUGGUCAAGUGCUACAAAUAAUGAUGAAUUUUAUUGGCCAAUUGUUAAUGAAACCCGUAAACUUGGUCGGACAAGGGCUAUUGUUCCUCAAAAAUUUUGGUUGGCAAAUACUAUUGUCGCUGCUAAAAGUUUUCAGUCAAGUGCCACUUGCCCUCAAGAAUUUUGGUUGGCAAGUAUUAUUGUCACUACAAAAUGUUUUCGGACAAAUGUCACUUGCCCUGAGAAAUUUUGGUUGGCAAGUACUAUUGUCACUGCAAAAUGUUUUCGGACAAGUGUCACUUGUCCUUAGGAGAUUUGGUUGGCAAGUGCUACUAGCGCUUGAGAAUUUUGGUGGGCAAGCGCUAGCAGCGCUUGACAAUUUCACUUGGCAAGUGAAGAGUUUAUAUAUGAAUUGGUUUGACGAGUUGUUUUCACUAGAGACAAGAAUCGAGAAGAUGAUCAAAUAUUGGUUUCACUUAGCUUUACACUUUCUCAUAAUAGCGGUAUUUCUAGCUAUCUUCAUAUACUUUUUCUACUUCCAAGUCGGAAUACUGCUCAGUAUAAUGGAUCAUCUCAAAACCGCGUGUGUUAUGUUGAUUAAGAUUGUGAGUCUCUUUAUAGAUUGUUGCAAGACCGUGAAAGAUCUCUUUAUGUAUUGUUGGAAGACGACUGUGAAUGAUCUCUUUAUAUAUUGUUGGAAGACUGUGAAAGAUCUCUUUAUAUAUUGUUCGAGAUCAAGCAAAAAACUUAUUAUCAUGAUGAUGAGAUAUCUAUUUUUAUGUUGCUUGAGAAGCAAAAAACCUAUUGGCAAGAUGAUGAAAGCUCCUGGUGAUAUGCUUGUCUAGCUAAUUAAGCAUUUUAAUUUGAUGAAGAUCUACAAUCUACAAUGAGCACAACCUUUUGUAAUGAUAACUACUCCCUUAGUUUAUAUUUACUUGUCAUAUUUGGGAGAAAAUGUUCAAAAUCGUCCUUGAUCGUCACAUGAUUGAAGUUAUAUUUGGGAGAAGUCAUCACAUUGAAAAUUCAAAUGAAGGAUAAAAUUGGAAGAAACACUCUAAAAGUAGUCUUGAAAAAUGAAUAAUUAAGUUAACUUGAAAAAUGAAAAAUGAUUCAAAAAAUCUGGCUUUUCUUCAAGAACAAGAGCACGCAUUUAAAUCAGGACAAUUGGGAAAGGGAAAGGGACAGAAGAGAAGAAGAUGAAAUUAGCUUUUGGUUGCUAUUAAUUAAAGUUUUCUUAAUAGAUUGGUGCUAAUCUCUUACUAAAUAUUAUGCACAUAUUUUUAAAUUUUUAUUAUUGUUGUAAUUGUAACUAAAAAUGCUAGACAAUGAAAUUUACCAUUAUUUUAUAUUUCUUAAUGGGAAAAGGGUUAUAUUUAUCAUUGUACUUUUAGAAAAGAAUUAUAUUUACUUUUCGUCAUAUUUUUUUGGUAUAUUUGCUCUUAUCAUCCAAUUUUGGGCAUAUAUUUGCCUUUUGGGAUGUUAACUCAUGUCUUUACCCUUGUUAUGUUAUGUGAUCUUGAUACACAACAACAAUCAAUUUUCGGGUAUAUUGUUUAGAUGAUGCUAUGCGUCAAUCAAUUAGUUUUAAGGGUAUACAUGACCCAAAAGAUUGAUGUACAAAAAGAAUGUUAUCUUACUAUAAUUAUUAGAAACAAUUUAACUUUGAAAUUUCUCUUAAUGAAAUAAUUUAUAACUAUACAAAUAUCUAAAAUUAUUUUGGACCACAAAUUUUAAAAGUCUUUCUUCUUUUUUCAAACACCAUGCAAAGUUAAACGGUACCAUAUAAAAUGAGUGAGAGAUAGUAAUAAUUAUAUGUGUCUUUUGUCAUUAUCUUUGCCCAACUAAUCCAUUGGAGAAAAUUGGGGUUCAUCCACCAACUUUAGCUAAAUAAAUUGUGUUUCUAAAAAAGCUUUCAUCUUGACCAUAAAAGUCUUCUUAUGAAAGAAUAGAAUAUGAAAAGUUAGAAAAUUAAUAUUUAUCUAAACUAAUAUGUUAAGGUUGUUCCAUAUUUUAUGUGAAAAAUGGACCCCAGAUAUUUCAGAAAGAAUUGCUUAUAAACACAAAACUAAUAUUAAAUAUUAAAACUCAACUAGGUCAGUCAACAAGAGUUUUUUUUUUUUUUUUGUAUUUGAAUUGUUCAUAUCUCAACUUAUUAUAAUUUCAUAACAAUUAUUUAUUUAUGCUGAAUAGGUUUAGUGCAUUCAAAUGUUAUAUAAUUUUUGAAAUUAUUAUGAUAAUAUUCAUUUAAAGAUUUUUUAAAGUAAACUUUUUGCUAGAAUUCUAUCUAACCCCCAAAGCCCAAGCUUACUGGACACAAAUUUUUAAAAAGUAAUAGAAAAUUUUUUAUUUGUAAUUUUAAAUUAAAAAUGUGUGUGUAUAUCAAAUUUAUUCUUUUAUAGCUUUAAAUACACAUGGUAAAAUAUUGAAAUUAAGGAUUUACUACUCAAUGUAACCAAUAACAUUAUUUUUCAAAUGUUUUCUUUUCAAAAGUAACACAAUUUAAUUAAAACAGAAAAGUAGUUGUAGUAUAUCAUAUGCAUUUAGAUUGAGAAAAUGAUCAAAUGCCUCCCUAAUCUAUAGUCGAAUUCUCAACUACACACUUAUAUUUUACGGAUGUCCUAUUACCCCCUUGAACUAUUUUAAGCGGAAUAAAUGCACCCUUAAGUGCUGACAUGGCACAGAGAGUGUGUUCACUCUCUUAAAGACAUGUGAGAGAUAAAGAACUGAUCAAAAAAAUAUUUUAAAAAUAUUUUAACUUUUUGUUAAAUACAUUUUCCAACUUUUGCCUUUAAUUUUAUUUUCUUUACUUUUUUCAUUUCUUUUUCCUUUUAUCAUUUUUCCUCCUCUCUCUCUCUCAUCACUCAACACCCUCCCUACCUAUACAUCUCCACGACCAUUGUUGAACCACUAUGGCAGCCCCAUCUCCUCACCCAUCUUCUAAUCCGUUUUCAUAAUUUGUCUCACAAUUAUUCACAACCAUCAAAAUCACCAAAUAAUCAUUAAAACUAUUAUUUAUGUAGUAAAAAAUAAAUCAAAGUCAUUAAUUUUCUUGCUCAGACAAAAUUUAUCAAGCUUCAAAUCUUAUUUUUUGUCUUUAUUAAUGUCUGAUGAAGAAUUUAAACUACACACAAUAAGAAUUUCACGAAGUUGAGCAACAACAAUCAAUUGAUUCUACUCAAUACCGAUAAUUCAGUGAUUUCUUCUAGUGUAGAAAGCCUAAAUCCUCCACUAUUUAAAAAUAAAUAAAAGGGUGUAUCCAUCCUCAAUCAUAAGACGAGUAGUGAGAACUUCAAGCUUAAGAUUGGUAUUACAAUUGUGGAAUUUGAGUGGGAGAGGUGAAAAUGGAGGUUUAAAUAGUUAAUAAAGUAGUUGUGGUGUUGCUGAUGAAUAUUGAUAUUUAAUUUGUGGGUUAUAGAAGGAUGGAGUGGGGGUGAGGAGUGAUUAGAGAGGAAUGGAGUGGAGAGAGGUAAAGGUUUUGGAGAGUUACAGGUAAAGAAAUUGAAGCAUGUCUUAGGAAAAGUGAAGAGAGGAGAAAUGAAGAAGAAGAAAUAUAAUUACUUUUUAUUUUUAUUAUAUGCGUGAUAUUUGACAACUAGCAACACAUGGUGCACACUACAUGGAAAGAAUGUGGUUGUGUAGUUUUAGGGUGGUUUAUAUUCCGCUUUAAAAUAGUUUAAGGGGUAAUAAGACCUCCAUAAAAUAUAAGUGUGUAGUUGAAAAUUCAGCUAGGUUAGGAGAUCAUUUGAUCAUUUUCUCCAUUUAAAUUUAUAGUACACUUUUAAUUUUAACUUUGGAAAAAAGGGAACCUUAUCGGAAUCUCUUGCCUUCUACCAAAACCAUGGGCUUACACUAUGUUUGGAUGGUUUUUUUGUAUUGAUUUAUAAUGUAUCGGAUUAUAUUAUAGUGUAUUAUUUUAUUAGAUAAUUUAUUUUCUAUUAUCACAUACUUUAUAUAUCAAUAAUUUGAAUCAUAGAAAGGUAUGAUAGACAAUAAAAUAUGAAGCUUUUGGAGUUCAUUCAAAUUACACUCUUUAUACAACUUUUUUUUUUCUUUUGUAUUUACUUUUUCAAAUUUCGAAUUGUGAAAAUUAUAACUCUGCCACUAAUCAUAGUUACUCUCUCUGUCCACUUUUAAUUAUCAUGUUACGUUUUUUAAAAGUUAAUUUAACUAAUUUUCAAAGUUAAAUUAAAUUACAUUAAUUCGAUAUUUUAAAUAUUCAAAACUACAUUAUACAUUCCAAUUUUUUGCAUAUAUGAAAAAAUAUAUGAUAAUAUGUUAAUCAAAGUUAAGUAUUAUUAUUUGAAACUAUGACAAUUAAAAGUAGACGGAGUAACAAAUAAGUAAAUUUUAGUGUCAUUCGUUCCCCUUUUAUAAAAGCCGGUCACAUACACAGAGUGAGAGAGACAAUAAUCGGAGCAGAGAUUUUAUUUUUUUUGAGAAAAUUAUCAAUGGAGAACGUGGAGAGCGUAGCAAAAGCUGCACUUGAGAAAUUGAAGGAGAUGAAUAUGGUGGAAAACGCAAAGGAGAUCGUCAAAAGAACAACACCGUUUGUAUCGGAAUAUGCGCGGAUCUUAUUUGAUGGGUUACUGGAAAAUCUGAAGCAGAUUGUCGUGAAAACGACGCCGUUCGUACGAACCUCAUCGGACUGGUUACUGGAAAAAGCUCCUCCACUGAUAUCUACUUCGAUAAAUUCGAUCCGUAUAGCUCCAAUAUAUUACACCAUUCCAAUUGGAUUUCUGCUAAUUUUGUUCCUCCGCCGG
RNAcentral lists this long non-coding RNA (7863 nucleotides) under Solanum tuberosum (potato). RNAcentral describes it as "long non-coding RNA (STUB_LNC005314)". The record is from RNAcentral. Lineage: Eukaryota; Viridiplantae; Streptophyta; Magnoliopsida; Solanales; Solanaceae.